This 433-nucleotide ribosomal RNA is filed under the name uncultured bacterium. RNAcentral describes it as "partial 16S ribosomal RNA". It matches the Rfam family "Bacterial small subunit ribosomal RNA", at positions 29 to 507 of the family's 1533-position model. The record is from RNAcentral.
AACGAACGCUGGCGGCAUGCCUAACACAUGCAAGUCGAACGAGACCUUCGGGUCUAGUGGCGCACGGGUGCGUAACGCGUGGGAACCUGCCCUUAGGUUCGGAAUAACUCCCCGAAAGGGGUGCUAAUACCGGAUAAUGUCUUCGGACCAAAGAUUUAUCGCCUUUGGAUGGGCCCGCGUUGGAUUAGCUAGUUGGUAGGGUAAAAGCCUACCAAGGCGACGAUCCAUAGCUGGUCUGAGAGGAUGAUCAGCCACACUGGGACUGAGACACGGCCCAGACUCCUACGGGAGGCAGCAGUGGGGAAUAUUGGACAAUGGGCGAAAGCCUGAGCCAGCAAUGCCGCGUGAGUGAUGAAGGCCUUAGGGUUGUAAAGCUCUUUUAACCGGGAUGAUAAUGACAGUACCGGGAGAAUAAGCUCCGGCUAACUCCGUG